UACGGAGGGGGCUAGCGUUGUUCGGAAUUACUGGGCGUAAAGCGCACGUAGGCGGCUUUGCAAGUUAGAGGUGAAAGCCCGGGGCUCAACCCCGGAAUUGCCUUUAAAACUGCAUCGCUAGAAUUGUGGAGAGGUAAGUGGAAUUCCGAGUGUAGAGGUGAAAUUCGUAGAUAUUCGGAAGAACACCAGUGGCGAAGGCGACUUACUGGACACAUAUUGACGCUGAGGUGCGAAAGCGUGGGGAGCAAACAGGG
Molecule: ribosomal RNA, 254 nt
Filed under: uncultured bacterium
Lineage: Bacteria
Description: partial 16S ribosomal RNA
Rfam family: Bacterial small subunit ribosomal RNA
Source: RNAcentral